Molecule: transfer RNA, 76 nt
Filed under: Chloroflexota bacterium
Lineage: Bacteria; Bacillati; Chloroflexota
Also listed under: 2 other names
Description: tRNA-Val
Rfam family: tRNA
About the family: Transfer RNA (tRNA) molecules are approximately 80 nucleotides in length. Their secondary structure includes four short double-helical elements and three loops (D, anti-codon, and T loops).
Source: RNAcentral
GGGUGGUUAGCUCAGUCGGCAGAGCGCGUCGUUCACACCGACGAGGUCACUGGUUCAAGUCCAGUACCACCCACCA